This 2678-nucleotide small RNA is filed under the name Rattus norvegicus (Norway rat). RNAcentral's name for it is "uncharacterized LOC102551884". The record is from RNAcentral. Lineage: Eukaryota; Metazoa; Chordata; Mammalia; Rodentia; Muridae.
CUUAUCUGAAAACUUCAGAAAUGUGGUCAAUAAAUUGCUUUAUAAUCUCAUUUACAAGAAAACUCCACCUUCCUUAGAUAAGCAUACCAAAACAUCGGGUUAUUUUGUUUUUUGUUUUUUGUACUUAAACCUUAAUUUAGCUGUAAAGUGGUUUUAACAGUGCAAUUCAAAAGCCAAACGUUCUAUGGUGAAAUAUGCACAGUCUCACGGGAAAUAAAUCUCAUUCUCUCUGUCUUUGCAGCAACGGUGUGUACCAAUCCCUUGGAUGCACACUCUUAUCCUUUACUUCAGGUUUAUCUUGAAAUAUUGUGUGUGUGUGUGUGUGUGUGUGUGUGUGUGUGUGUAUCAAGCUCCUGGUUCUACCGGAGUGGUGGUUCUGGAAGUGCAGGUCGCAGAGCUGGCGGAGUUGUGUUGGGUUUUCUGCUAUUGCUGACCACGGAAGGUGAAGAAAAUGAAGAGGACAUUAAGAAACCCAUCUGACCACUUCAAAGAGUUUUACUCACCUUUUCCCCUGCAUGAGAAAGUACCAAAUUUUGUAAAAGUAAGAAUUUUAAGUUCUUACGUUUUCCUUUCAGUAUUUACAACCCACUAUGUGUAAUGGUGUGUGUUCGUGAGGGUACUUAAAAUGUUCACCAAAUAAGAAAAUGGCCAGUCUAGAAAAGAGAAAUAAUUAAAAAUACUUGAGUAAGCUGUGAGCAAAUCCUGUAACUUCCUUGGACUCUAACAGUUGCAAGGUUUUAUUGCCUCACAGUAAACAUUGUGAUCAUACCUAGACAGCUGCCAAGUAACACUGUCUGAGGCCUGGGCCAGAUAGGGAUUGAAUUUAUUGCAUUAGAGCAGGUCCCUAGGGUGCUUCUAUUCUGAAUUCUGAGUUUUCAGCCAACAACUUGGUGGGACUUUUGUUGUUCUGCAAAUUUCCACCACACUUCAGAAGCACAUCGGUUUUUACCAGCUGAGUUUUAACUAGAUGUGAAUUCUGUGAGGCAAACAGUUCUCCUAUCCACUGCUGGAGGCAGCUUUCUCUCCUUGGAUGAUUUAAUAAAUAGGAGGGUUGACCACAGGAAAGUGUCUCAAGCUCUUGUGAAACAGGGCCCUGUUGUGCCCUUCCUUCCUGGGUGACAUAGUUGGAAAUGGUUGCUGUGGAGACAAGCCUCCCCAGAAAUCAGUUUAUGCCUGUUCUACCUUCAUUUCUCACCCAGGUGUGGUGAUUUAAAUAAACUCUUUGGUAGGAUUAGAAGGAUUAGGAAGCCUUGCUGCACUUUCAAAAACCCAAGGCCAGGCUAGUCUCCACACCAACCCCCCUGCCCCCAAUGGAUUAGCAUGUAGAACUCUUAGUACUGUGUCUGCCUGCCUGCCACUAUGCUCCCAACCAAGAUGAUAAUGGACUAACCUCUGAAAUGCAAUAGAACAGUGACUGACCCCUGGCAAGUUUCAGGCUUCAGGAAAAGGCUGAAGAAAGAGUGUUCUGCAGUAGAAAUGGGGACAGAACCUGUUGAUGCUUCGGUCUGGGUAGCUUGAAGACUCCAUUCUGAGUGCAGAAUUCAGCACCUAUGAAGAUUUGAGGGGAAAUGAUGGAUGAUGCAUCUCUCUGGAAAGUCUUGGAAGGGCCCUUGUAUCUUGGGGCUUUUCUGUGCCUGAUGUGACCCAGGUCCUCUGGACUACAUUUCUAAUUUUGGUGCCUGAAUCAAUGGACCUGCUUCUAGAGGUGUGGCUGCUAAGCUUGGACAAUUUAGGAUAUUGAAAGGUGGAAAAGGGAAGAGCUAAUGAAAUGCGUGUUGACUAGAUUUCAUAUAGGAAGAUGAAGAAUGUAAAGAAAACAAAAUCCUCCACCAUUAGAAAUGCAGCCACCUCUUCCUAGCUGAUUUGAAUGAUGUAAAACAGCAUCUACAAAGCAUCGUACACAUAGACACGGCAUUCCCAACGAUCUAUGGAGUUCACAUGCCCGGAACUGGGGAUCCUUUCACUCCAACACAGAAGUGAAGGCACUCUUCCAGAUGACCAGAGUUAAACAGUUUGUGGUCUUGGGCAGGAAACUUCUACAAGAACCAAACUCUAGCUACAAAGCUUCAAAGAAUUCCCCGGCCACCUGGAUAAAAACUUGACAGAAGCCAGAGUCAGCUUGCACUUAGGUGUGGUAUGCUCAGCUUGUCAACAUCAAUAAACUGCAAAUGCAAAUGAAAUGAAAUGCAUUCCCUCAUAUGAUGCAAUAAACUGCAAAUGCAAAUGAAAUGAAAUGCAUUCCCUCAUAUGAUGCAAUAAAAUGGGAAAUUAGACCAUGAGGGCUCUGUCUUUAUGAAUGUCCUUCUAAGAGAGGUUGGAGGCAAGAUUGGACGUUAGUACCCUAUUGUGGAAAGGGGAGGAACUGACAGGCCCUCUCCUUUUUGAAGAUUUAGAUGCAGUUAAUAGUUAAGGGGGGAGAAAGGGACAGCAGUGUAACUUCUUCAGUAGUGUAGCUGCUGGGUAUGUGCCCGAGUUUCUUUAAAAGCCCCAAGCAGGAGGUGGAGCAAAGGCUCAGCAGUACGAGCAGUAACUACUUGCUACCAGUUACUGCAUGAUACCCCGGCUUGUUUGCCAGUAAUCAUAUCAGGCUGCUCACAACUGCCUAUAACUCCUGUUCCAGGAAUCAGGAACCCUGUGCCAUAUAUACAUAUACGGUGCACAUAAACUCUCAUAGGCGC